This 75-nucleotide transfer RNA is filed under the name Thalictrum thalictroides. It matches the Rfam family "tRNA". From Rfam's summary of the family: Transfer RNA (tRNA) molecules are approximately 80 nucleotides in length. Their secondary structure includes four short double-helical elements and three loops (D, anti-codon, and T loops). Lineage: Eukaryota; Viridiplantae; Streptophyta; Magnoliopsida; Ranunculales; Ranunculaceae. The record is from Rfam by way of RNAcentral.
ACUGGUGUAGCUCAGUUGGUUAGAGUGUGUGGCUUUUAAACCACAAGGUCGAAGGUUCAAGCCCUUCCACUAGCA